Long non-coding RNA from Phodopus roborovskii (desert hamster), 786 nucleotides. RefSeq lists it as uncharacterized. The record is from RefSeq and is a predicted model, not a curated record. Lineage: Eukaryota; Metazoa; Chordata; Mammalia; Rodentia; Cricetidae. The transcript is spliced from 2 exons.
CCCCCAGUUAUCAUGGUGGUAACUGAUUUCUAGUUUGCAAGUACUUGGGCUCUAAAGUGUAAAGAAAAGAUCACAGGGCUGGGGAGAUUAGCUUGUUUGCUAAAGUGAUUGCAACAAAAGUCUGGUCUUUAAAAGCCAUGAUUUUGGAAAGCUGGUGUAGUGGCCCACACUUAUAAUCCCAGCAUUUGGGAGGUAGAGGCAGAUUUCUGGGACUCACUGGCCAGCUAGCAUAAGCUACCUUCUGUGUUCCAGGCCAAUGAGCAACACUGCAUUAAAAAAAAAAAAAAGAAGAUGGAGGUGUCCUGAAGAACCAUACCUGAUAUUGGAUAAUUGCCUCUCUAUGUACAUACAUACUCAUGCUCAUGGUCAUGCAUGUGCACACACCUGCAUGUACAUAUACACCACAAACAGUGAACUGGGGAUAACCAAGGGGCCAGAAGAAGAGUGUUGGAUCCCCUGAAGCUGCAAUUAGUGUAGGCAGUCGUAAGCCAUCUACUGUGGGUGCUGGAAAAGAAAGGCGGGUCAUCUGGAAGCACAGUACACACUCUUAACCACUGUGCUGUCCCUCCAGUCCCCUAGUUAGAUUUAACUUUCAAUUUGGUACAGCCCAGAGUCAUCUAGAAGGAAAGCCUUAGUUGAGCAGUUCCCUAGAUAAGAUUGUCAUUUGAAAAAUCAAUCAAUAAAUAAAAGAUUGUCACACUGUAGCACUUGUAUGGGUUUUUGUUUACCUGGUGGACACAGACUUAAAGACAGGUGCAAAAAUAAAUCCUCUUUUGCAACCCACAA